Molecule: ribosomal RNA, 274 nt
Filed under: uncultured bacterium
Lineage: Bacteria
Description: partial 16S ribosomal RNA
Rfam family: Bacterial small subunit ribosomal RNA
Source: RNAcentral
AUACGGAGGGUGCAAGCGUUAUCCGGAAUCACUGGGUUUAAAGGGUGCGUAGGCGGCGCAAUAAGUCAGAGGUGAAAGCCCCCAGCUUAACUGGGGAAUUGCCUUUGAUACUGUUGCGCUUGAAUCAGGUUGAGGUUAGCGGAAUGUGUCAUGUAGCGGUGAAAUGCAUAGAUAUGACAUAGAACACCAAUUGCGAAGGCAGCUGACUAGACCUGUAUUGACGCUGAGGCACGAAAGCGUGGGGGGCGAACAGGAUUAGAAACCCUAGUAGUCC